GCUGGGUGUGGUGGUGCAUGCCUGUAGUCCCAGCUACUCAGGAGGCUGAGGUAGGAGGAUUGCUUGAGUUCAGGAGGUCAAGGCUGCAGUGAGCCGUGAUGGUGCCACUGCACUCCAGCCUGGGUGACAGAGUUAGACCUUGUCUCAC
RNAcentral lists this non-coding RNA (148 nucleotides) under Homo sapiens (human). Lineage: Eukaryota; Metazoa; Chordata; Mammalia; Primates; Hominidae. The record is from Rfam by way of RNAcentral.